Molecule: ribosomal RNA, 336 nt
Filed under: uncultured bacterium
Lineage: Bacteria
Description: bacterial SSU rRNA
Rfam family: Bacterial small subunit ribosomal RNA
Source: RNAcentral
AACGCAGGUGGUUUGGUAAGUCAGAGGUGAAAGACCACAGCUUAACUGUGGCACUGCCUUUGAUACUGCCUUUCUUGAGUAGAGUAGGGGGAAGCGGAAUUCCGAGUGUAGAGGUGAAAUUCGUAGAUAUUCGGAGGAACACCGGUGGCGAAGGCGGCUUCCUGGACUCUAACUGACGCUCAGGUGCGAAAGGCGUGGGGGAGCGAAACAGGAUUACGAUACCCUGGUAGUCCACGCCGUAAACGAUGGGCACUAGGUGUAGCGGGUGUCGACCCCUGCUGUGCCGAAGCUAACGCAUUAAGUGCCCCGCCUGGGGAGUACGGUCGCAAGGCUGAA